AUUGAACGCUGGCGGCAGGCCUAACACAUGCAAGUCGAGCGGAUGCAGCGAGCUUGCUCCUGGAUUCAGCGGCGGACGGGUGAGUAAUGCCUAGGAAUCUGCCUGGUAGUGGGGGAUAACGUCCGGAAACGGGCGCUUAUAUCGCAUACGUCCUGUGGGCGCAAGUGGGGGAUCUUCGGACGUCUCGCUAUCAGAGGAGCCAAGGUGGUAUUAGCUAGUUGGGGGGGUAAUGGCCUACCAAGGCUGCUAUCCUUAACUGGUCUGAGAGGAUGAUCAGUCACACUGGAACAGAGGCACGGUCCAGACUCCGGCGGUAGGCCGCAGUGGGGAAUAUUGGGGGAUGGGGGAAAGCCUAAUCCAGGCAUGCCGGGGGUAGGAAGAAGGACUUCUGAUUGGAAAGCACUUUAAGUUGUGAGGUAGGGCAGUAAGUUAAUACCUUGCUGUUUUGACGUUACCAACAGAAUAAGCACCGGCUAACUUCGUG
Molecule: ribosomal RNA, 484 nt
Filed under: uncultured bacterium
Lineage: Bacteria
Description: partial 16S ribosomal RNA
Rfam family: Bacterial small subunit ribosomal RNA
Source: RNAcentral